UUUCCAUAUCUCAAGAUUGACAUGGUGGAAAUUGCAUAGGGGAGAGAGCAGUAGGAAAAAAAGAAUUCCUCUCCUCUGGAUUCAGAAGAACCUCCACAUUUACAGGUCCUUCAAGGAUCUACAGACACAGAUGAAGAGACAUAUAGAUAGAAUCACAUUUACGUCAUACCAUUGGACGGAACAUCCCUGAUUUCAAGACCUGGGCUUCUGCACACUGAUCGAUGGCUCCAAGGUGGCAAAGCAUCCGUGGUCAACUGACCCUCUGUCUCUGGAUACAAAGGGAAUGAAGAGAUGAAAGGCUUUUUAUCUGAGGCUUCAAGGAGCAUCCUGGUGGGGAUAUCAUAAAAUUGCAUUGAGAUGGCCACAGUUUCACAUAAGUGGUCCUCACCAAGAUGAGAAAUUGUCAUGGAUGAUACUACAACCAAAAGACAAAUGACUGGUCCAAGGAAUGUUUCACGUGGAAAGAAUAUUUUUAGAAGGGAAGAGUUAAUUUCAUAAGAAGGUGAUAUAUAAAGCUAAGAGGAAAGCUGAUGGUUUUACCGUCAUUGUAUUAAACUGUAAUAGUGUGUUAAAUAAUAUCUCAGAAUUCCUUUAGGUGACAAUUAGCAGAUCCCUUCCCAGAGAUAAUGGAAACCAGCAGUGGAUUUUAGCAAGAUAUUGGUAUGGAAAAUAGACAUGCUGAAUGGUUCCCAAACACCCCUGGGGUGGAGGAACAAUAUUAA
This 722-nucleotide long non-coding RNA is filed under the name Felis catus (domestic cat). Its description in RNAcentral is "lncRNA (ENSFCAG00000049011.1)". The record is from RNAcentral. Lineage: Eukaryota; Metazoa; Chordata; Mammalia; Carnivora; Felidae.